CACUGUACCCCAGGGCCCAGGAGCAUUUCCAGUAGAAUAAUGUGUGUGUGGGGGGCAGGGGUAGGUGGGGGGAUGAGUGUAGAUUGCCUUGCCUGCCUGCAGGGAAGCCAAGGCCUCAGGCUGUAGAGCCAGGCAGCUGCUGGUCCUAGCUGCACCACUUACCAGCUGUGUCCUCUGGGGCCAGUGUCCUCAUCUCUCUGAACCUCUUUCGUCAACUGUACAGUGGAGCUCAUAACAGCGCCUUCCUCACAAGGUUGCUCUGAGGAGUGAAGGAAUGAAUGCAGGUGCAGGGCUUAGAAGAGAGCUUAGCACACCGUAGGUGCUCAGUUGGCAGAAUGUAUGUGAACUCCCUGAGGGCAGGUACCUUUUGAAAGCAUCAAAUGAUGCAAAGUGCAGUGCCGGGCAUGUAGAAGAAUUUAACAGAAGUCAGCUAUGCAUCUUGUUGAGCCCAGUCUGGGGAAUAAGAUAGCAAUCCAUUUGAGCUAUAUCAUUUUGAGUCUAAACUGAGACAUGACUACAAUGAGACAAAUUUUCUUUUACAGCUCAUAAACGAGCUCUCGAGGCAGUUUUGUUAGGCUCCAAAAAAGGCUUUCACGAGGUCAAUGCCGGUGGCAUAAGUACCUGCUGGGCUUCCCAGGACAGCAGCUGACAGCACAGGCUUGGCAGGUAGGAGGCGUCCUUGGGCUUCACUCUCAUGCAUGAUGUCACCUUCCAGCGACACAUGGAAGUGGAUAUACCCCUCCCUAGUGCUGCAUCCUCAUAAACUCUCUAGUUACUCCAGAGAUAGAGUUUCUACAACAUGCAGGAUCUGUUGCACGCCGUUCCAUGCAUUGUCAAAAGCGCUCCCUUCCACUGAUCUGCCAGAUGAUGGUGCCCUGGGCAGUGACCUGACCCUUUGAACAGGUGAAAAGAUCAUCUCAGGAAAUCAAUAGAGAUGCUUACUGCUGUUGCUCAUCCCUGAAAAUCUUUAAGGUUCUCCAUGUUAACAUAUGUACUUUUAACUCAGCCCUUGUUCUGAAAAAGGAGCUGCGCUUUGCCAGGUAACUCGAUGCCCUCUUCACCCAAGGGUCAAGGCUCAGAGCUGACGAGCUCUGGCAGCUCUGUCAGAGGUCGUGCCCUUCCCCUGCAUGAAGGCUUUCAUGAAUGGCAUUGCGCACACCCCUGGGAGGAAAAUGCCCCCCUAAGAUGCUGCUCUUGGCAUCCCAUAGGGGCCUGCGCCAGCUUCAGAUCGACCACUCUCCAGAGCAGAUGCUGGGACAGGCAGGGCAGAUGGUCUCGCCAUGCCGUCUUAGCUCCCAUCACCUUGUCACAGAGGGACUCGAGAUCAGAGGGGUCCAGAGUUCUCUUUUCCUGUCUUUUCCUCUUGUGUUGCUUCUUUCCUAGGUAGAUAGAUAGAUGGCUGAUGAUAGACAGGAUGGAUGGAUGGGUGGUGGAUAGAGAGGUAGAGAAAUGCCAUGAAGUGCAAAGUAAUAAGUAGCUGAAAUUCUGUCAUUUUUUUCUUUCCCAAUACUUUGUAAACAGUAAAAAGAAUGGGUAGGCCAUCAGUAAACAGCUAUUAUGUGUACUGUCAUUAUCACGUUCAAUAUUGUAUGCUUGCUAUUAUUCUUCUUUCUCUCACCUUCGAGUAAACAUUAACUGAACAUCUAAUAUGUGCCAAGCACCCUGGACAGCCAGACUCCCAUCCAACCUUCCACAUCACCUCAGGUCACCAUCUUGCAGGUACCCCCAGGUCUGAUCUCACUGAAUUACUCACCAACUCUCCAUUCUCCCAGAACUCAAUACCCUACUCCCUCUUCCUAAAGCAGCCUUUCAUUUCCUGCACCUGGCAAAGAUUAUUCAACCCUAAGGACCUCUAGCAAAUGUCACCUCCUCUCUGAAGCCCACCCCGAUAGGCUUCCCUUCUUUUAGUACCUAUUGUAUCCUGAUUAUUGGUUCAUAUGUGUGAUUAUCUGCAUACACCAUAAGCUUCCCUUUAAUCAUCUUGUACUUUCUUUUUUUAUAUAUAUAUUUUUAUUAUACUUUAAGUUCUAGGGUACAUGUGCACAACAUGCAGGUUUGUUACAUAUGUAUACAUGUGUCAUGUUGGUGUGCUGCACCCAUUAACUCUUCAUUUACAUUAGGUAUAUCUCCUAAUGCUAUCCCUCCCCACUCCUGCCAUCCCACAACAGGCCCCGGUGUGUAAUGUUCCCCUUCCUGUGUCCAAGUGUUCUCAUUGUUCAAUUCCCACCUAUGAGUGAGAACAUGCAGUGUUUGGUUUUUUA
Molecule: long non-coding RNA, 2261 nt
Filed under: Homo sapiens (human)
Lineage: Eukaryota; Metazoa; Chordata; Mammalia; Primates; Hominidae
Description: non-protein coding C21orf62-AS1:13
Source: RNAcentral